AUUGGUUGAGUUGAAAAGGCUGCCCUACAGUAGUUUGCUUGGAGAGACAGGAGGUUGCUGAAGCACCCCUCUGAUGUGAUAUCUUUUCAUUUUAUUCUUCAUGGGGGGGACAGAAGACCAUGGUGGAAAGGAAUUGUGGUUAUUAUUCCGUCAUUAUUCUAACCUCGGUGACUGUCUUCCAGAGCCACUUCUGGUUAGACUCUUUUUGGAGAAUGAUUCACUUGGAAGCUCUUUCUUUGGGUCUUUCUGUCUUUAGAGCCCAAAUGAAGAAGAAUAUGGCCACACAUUUAAAAAGCAGGAAUAUUGGAAGGCUGAUCCAUCUGGGAGGGAGGCAGAGGACAUGGAAGUGAAGAGAGUUCUGGGCCUUUAUUUCUAUACCAACAAAUAUCCAUUUCUAAAAACUGGCUGUGUGAAAUGAAGCUGCUUUCUGAUGGCCAUCUAGCGCCAGCAGGCUCCGAGUCAGCUUGAGUUGGGCUGGCCGUGGCACUAUGCCAGGGUCAUGGUUUUACUUGGCUGAACUGUUCUUGAACAGUCUCUCCCAAGCGCUGGGCACAGAUCAUCCUUUCUUCAGCACCAGGCAUGCAUGUCUUCUCUCCAGACCAUUCUUUCUUUGCUUGGAAAAAAAGCGCAGCAGUUGUGGCCGUGCUACUCCCUGCUCCCGUCUUCAUUGUUCUGCCCUGCCUCCCUUCCAUUGCUUGGUCUGACAGUUGUUCAGGGCUUUGGAUGGGCUCAGGGACUUUGGGACUACAUGGAAUACACAGUUCACAUAAACAGAGAUGGGCAUCUCCAAGUACAAGCCACUGAAGAUGGCCAUAUUGGGACACAGCAGCACCCGCCUCACCUAGCUUGGCUGUGCAUCCUUAGUGAACUUCGCUUUGGGUGACUGAGCCUGAUGUCUACACCAUUUUGUGUUACACUAUGGCCACUGUGGUGUGAACUCUCCUCCUGCUUCUGCUCACUGGCCUCCACAUCAAUUCAUGUUAGGCUGAAAGCCAUGCGUGUGUGCCCUUCAUGAUGAUUAACUAACCAGAGGAACAAGUAACUCUACACAGCAUCCCUUUCGGCAAACCCACUGCUGAUUCAGCUUCCUCACCGGCAUAGAGACGGCAGCUCAUUUCUGCGCCCCGUGUCUCGGCCAUUAGCUUGGCUCUCUAGUACUCUGCUCCAGAGCAGUCCUGCCGUGCAUCUUCCUGCUGGAUCUCUCAUGGCUUCUCUGGCCUCUAAACUGGCCAAAGCCAUCCCAUGUUUAAUAGAGCAUCACCAAAAGGAGGAAAAGCACAGGCCCAACCGGGAUGGAGGCAAUACCGGCAUCUCCCGGCUUUACUUUGCUUCUGAAGCGUCCCUGGAAGUGUCAGAAGGAAAUGUAGUGGAUUAGUGUCUUUUCUCCACUCCCAGUUCCAAUGUAGAAGCCCAUUAACAGGCUAUUCUUUACUACAGUCAGGUAACAGGAGAUAGUAAGUGAAUGCACUGGAGUGGAGAGCCAGGUCCUCCAUUUGUUGUCACCAGCUCCAGAAGGAGCUCCCGUAGGCAGGCGUCAGGCGAUUUCUCACACAGGCUCCCAGCACUGAGCCUUCCUUUCCCAGUGCUCUCCCUUCCACUAUGAUUACAUGAUAUUCAUAUGCCAUGUCCUAACUAAUGGGUCCAUGUGUUUUUUCCCCAAGUUCUUUGCUACAACCAACAAAUAAUGCUAUUAUAAACAUUUUCUACCUAUAAGUCCUUCCCUAAAUUUAAUCUCAUUGUAAUAUAUGCCAG
Molecule: long non-coding RNA, 1752 nt
Organism: Monodelphis domestica (gray short-tailed opossum)
Lineage: Eukaryota; Metazoa; Chordata; Mammalia; Didelphimorphia; Didelphidae
Source: Ensembl